RNAcentral lists this ribosomal RNA (774 nucleotides) under uncultured Neocallimastigales. Its description in RNAcentral is "partial large subunit ribosomal RNA". It matches the Rfam family "Eukaryotic large subunit ribosomal RNA", at positions 26 to 644 of the family's 3401-position model. The record is from RNAcentral. Lineage: Eukaryota; Fungi; Neocallimastigomycota; Neocallimastigomycetes; Neocallimastigales.
CGCAUCUGUGCAUGCAGCAUAUCAAUAAGCGGAGGAAAAGAAACUAACAAGGAUUCCCCUAGUAACGGCGAGUGAAGCGGGAAGAGCUCAAAUUUGAAAUCUUAAAGGGUUUCCCUUUACGAAUUGUAGUUUAAAGAAGUGUUUUCUGUUGAGGUUUUGGUAAAAGUUCUUUGGAAUAGGACAUCAUAGAGGGUGAGAAUCCCGUAUUUGACCUUUACUUUCAACUUUGUGAUACACUUUCAAAGAGUCGGAUUGUUUGGGAAUGCAGUCCAAAUGGGUGGUAAAUUUCAUCUAAAGCUAAAUAUUGGCGAGAGACCGAUAGCGAACAAGUACCGUGAGGGAAAGAUGAAAAGAACUUUGAAAAGAGAGUUAAACAGUACGUGAAAUUGUCAAAAGGGAAGCGUUUGACACCAGUGUUGUUUUUCUGAAAAUCAAUUAAAGAACUGUUUAUGCUAAGCUGUUUAGACUUUAUCAGCUAAUCUGUUUAGUUUUGAGCUUUUCUUUAAUGCACUUUUCAGUUAACAAGUCAACAUCAAUUUCUUUUGCUGUAAAAAAGCUUGAGGAAGGUGGCCUGAGAUUCGUCUUAAGUGUUUAUAGCCUCUUGCCUAUGCAGUCGGAGAGAUUGAGGUCUGCAGCGUAGAUCCUUCGGGGCUAAAUGCAUUUGUGCUAAGUUAUAGCAUUUUAUAGACAACUUGUUGACUAUGAUUUGUCUUGUAGCUUACUCGCUUAUGUUAUUUUACCUACGCUUAGGAUGUUGAAUCUGUGCGAGACUAC